AUGUCUGGGAAACUGCCUGAUGGAGGGGGAUAACUACUGGAAACGGUAGCUAAUACCGCAUAACGUCGCAGGACCAAAGAGGGGGACCUUCGGGCCUCUUGCCAUCGGAUGUGCCCAGAUGGGAUUAGCUAGUUGGUGGGGUAACGGCUCACCUAGGCGACGAUCCCUAGCUGGUCUGAGAGGAUGACCAGCCACACUGGAACUGAGACACGGUCCAGACUCCUACGGGAGGCAGCAGUGGGGAAUAUUGCACAAUGGGCGCAAGCCUGAUGCAGCCAUGCCGCGUGUAUGAAGAAGGCCUUCGGGUUGUAAAGUACUUUCAGCGGGGAGGAAGGGAGUAAAGUUAAUACCUUUGCUCAUUGACGUUACCCGCAGAAUAAGCACCGGCUA
This 390-nucleotide ribosomal RNA is filed under the name Escherichia coli. Its description in RNAcentral is "bacterial SSU rRNA". It matches the Rfam family "Bacterial small subunit ribosomal RNA", at positions 113 to 499 of the family's 1533-position model. Lineage: Bacteria; Pseudomonadati; Pseudomonadota; Gammaproteobacteria; Enterobacterales; Enterobacteriaceae. The record is from RNAcentral.